RNAcentral lists this long non-coding RNA (580 nucleotides) under Pan troglodytes (chimpanzee). RNAcentral's name for it is "long non-coding RNA NONPTRT013473". Lineage: Eukaryota; Metazoa; Chordata; Mammalia; Primates; Hominidae. The record is from RNAcentral.
CGCGGGGUUGGCUGCCGGGAGGUCGACGCUAGUGCGGUGCCCCGCGCGGCGGAGGGGCCCGGGCCGCGGAAUCUGCGCACUGAGACGUCGGCGGAAGGCUAGAGGCCGUGCUCUCGCCACCGCAGAAGGCCACCACUCCUUGAGAAGGCCGGAGGGACAAAGCACCGGGCCUGCGCCGGGGGCAUUCAAGAAGGAAGCCAGGCCCGACCGGGGGGUGGCGCACGCUUCCCGAACCCCAGGCCCACGGCCCGGUUCCGCGCGGGCAGUUGGCGCCCCCUCGGGUCGGCACAGCAGACCUCUUAGUAAUGGUCCCCAGGAAGUACAGGGACUGAGAAACGGAAAUACUACCAUCCUCCAGCCAAUCUGUUGGGAGGACUGCUUGCAGAGGACUCGUGCUCCAGAUGUUGCACUAGAGGCGCUGCAAGUGUGAGCAGCAGGUAGAUGAAACUCAAGAGAAAAGGUGUGGAUAAAUGAAACUAGCCCAUGAUGAACCUGUUUUCUCCGUGACCACAAUAUUAACCAGGAUGAUGGCGGUUGAGGAAGUUACACAGAAAAUGACUGAAGCUAGCAGAAGUUGGUU